RNAcentral lists this long non-coding RNA (171 nucleotides) under Vulpes vulpes (red fox). RNAcentral's name for it is "lncRNA (ENSVVUG00000010153.1)". The record is from RNAcentral. Lineage: Eukaryota; Metazoa; Chordata; Mammalia; Carnivora; Canidae.
UUUUAACCUGUACAAAGAAAACUAAAAUAUACACUUGUUCAUUGUUUUCGGCAGGUCUCACUGCUGAACUCUAACUUUCCAGCUCAAGUGGCUUUGGGUAAUAUAGUUCAUCCUAUGUCGUUGCCUAUUCAGCUAGACAUGAUGAGGUUCAAACUACCAUCACCAAACUGA